GACGAACGCUGGCGGCGUGCUUAACACAUGCAAGUCGAACGGAAAGGCCCUGCUUUUGUGGGUUGCUCGAGUGGCGAACGGGUGAGUAACACGUGAGUAACCUGCCCUUGACUUUGGGAUAACUUCAGGAAACUGGGGCUAAUACCGGAUAGGAGCUCCUGCUGCAUGGUGGGGGUUGGAAAGUUUCGGCGGUUGGGGAUGGACUCGCGGCUUAUCAGCUUGUUGGUGGGGUAGUGGCUUACCAAGGCUUUGACGGGUAGCCGGCCUGAGAGGGUGACCGGCCACAUUGGGACUGAGAUACGGCCCAGACUCCGACGGGAGGCAGCAGUGGGGAAUAUUGCACAAUGGGCGGAAGCCUGAUGCAGCAACGCCGCGUGCGGGAUGACGGACUUCGGGUUGUAAACCGCUUUCGCCUGUGACGAAGCGUGAGUGACGGUAAUGGGUAAAGAAGCACCGGCUAACUACGUGC
Molecule: ribosomal RNA, 469 nt
Filed under: uncultured bacterium
Lineage: Bacteria
Description: partial 16S ribosomal RNA
Rfam family: Bacterial small subunit ribosomal RNA
Source: RNAcentral